RNAcentral lists this ribosomal RNA (432 nucleotides) under uncultured bacterium. RNAcentral's name for it is "partial 16S ribosomal RNA". It matches the Rfam family "Bacterial small subunit ribosomal RNA", at positions 29 to 507 of the family's 1533-position model. The record is from RNAcentral.
ACGCGCGCUGGCGGCAUGCCUAACCCAUGCAAGUCGAACGAGACCUUCGGGUCUAGUGGCGCACGGGUGCGUAACGCGUGGGAACCUGCCCUUAGGUUCGGAAUAACUCCCCGAAAGGGGUGCUAAUACCGGAUAAUGUCUUCGGACCAAAGAUUUAUCGCCUUUGGAUGGGCCCGCGUUGGAUUAGCUAGUUGGUAGGGUAAAAGCCUACCAAGGCGACGAUCCAUAGCUGGUCUGAGAGGAUGAUCAGCCACACUGGGACUGAGACACGGCCCAGACUCCUACGGGAGGCAGCAGUGGGGAAUAUUGGACAAUGGGCGAAAGCCUGAUCCAGCAAUGCCGCGUGAGUGAUGAAGGCCUUAGGGUUGUAAAGCUCUUUUACCCGGGAUGAUAAUGACAGUACCGGGAGAAUAAGCUCCGGCUAACUCCGUG